GACGAACGCUGGCGGCGUGCUUAACACAUGCAAGUCGAGGGGUAAGGCCCUUUCGGGGGUACACGAGCGGCGAACGGGUGAGUAACACGUGGGUGACCUGCCCUUAGCUCUGGGAUAAGCCUGGGAAACUGGGUCUAAUACCGGAUAUGACUCCAUGACGCAUGUUGUGGGGUGGAAAGCCUUGUGCGGCUAGGGAUGGGCCUGCGGCCUAUCAGCUUGUUGGUGGGGUGAUGGCCACCAAGGCGACGACGGGUAGCCGGCCUGAGAGGGCGACCGGCCACACUGGGACUGAGACACGGCCCAGACUCCUACGGGAGGCAGCAGUGGGGAAUCUUGCGCAAUGGGCGAAAGCCUGACGCAGCGACGCCGCGUGGGGAUGACGGCCUCGGUGUAA
This 394-nucleotide ribosomal RNA is filed under the name uncultured bacterium. RNAcentral's name for it is "bacterial SSU rRNA". It matches the Rfam family "Bacterial small subunit ribosomal RNA", at positions 28 to 428 of the family's 1533-position model. The record is from RNAcentral.